Molecule: ribosomal RNA, 442 nt
Filed under: uncultured bacterium
Lineage: Bacteria
Description: partial 16S ribosomal RNA
Rfam family: Bacterial small subunit ribosomal RNA
Source: RNAcentral
CCUACGGGAGGCAGCAGUGGGGAAUAUUGGGCAAUGGGCGCAAGCCUGACCCAGCAACGCCGCGUGAAGGAAGAAGGCUUUCUGGUUGUAAACUUCUUUUGUCAGGGAAGAGUAGAAGACGGUACCUGACGAAUCAGCCACGGCUAACUACGUGCCAGCAGCCGCGGGAAUACGUCGGUGGCAAGCGUUGUCCGGAUUUACUGGGUGUAAAGGGCGUGUAGCCGGGUUGACAAGUCAGAUGUGAAAUCCUGCGGCUUAACCGCAGAACUGCAGUUGAAACUGUUGAUCUUGAGUACUGGAGAGGCAGACGGAAUUCCUAGUGUAGCGGUGAAAUGCGUAGAUAUUAGGAGGAACACCAGUGGCGAAGGCGGAUUGCUGGACAGUAACUGACGCUGAGGCGCGAAAGCGUGGGGAGCAAACAGGAUUAGAUACCCCGGUAGUC